Molecule: long non-coding RNA, 363 nt
Filed under: Physcomitrium patens
Lineage: Eukaryota; Viridiplantae; Streptophyta; Bryopsida; Funariales; Funariaceae
Description: long non-coding RNA (PPAT_LNC003167)
Source: RNAcentral
UAUUCUUCUUAUAUGAGUGAAAUAUAUUAAGGUUUCUUGAAUAUUUAUAAAACGCAACUUCACCUUCUAUAAUCAAGUGCCCAAUGCAUUCCCAAACAAGACAAUACAUAUUACGACACCAUUGAGAGAAACUAAGACAAUGUUAUAACUUCUUUCAGAUUAAUAUUUGAUCAAUAAUUAGGACCUAGAUUUUUAAUUAUGUAUAUCAAUUAACUCAAAUAAGGUUAAGAUGGUAAGGCAUCAAUGCUUUGUAUGAUUGGAGGGAUAUAUUAGAUAGGUUGUUUUCUAAUAGAAUUAGAGUCGUUUGUAUCAAGAUGGGAUUUUUGUAAGUUAAAUGUACUACCAUUCGAUUCUUAUUUUUCA